RNAcentral lists this ribosomal RNA (466 nucleotides) under uncultured bacterium. RNAcentral describes it as "partial 16S ribosomal RNA". It matches the Rfam family "Bacterial small subunit ribosomal RNA", at positions 28 to 507 of the family's 1533-position model. The record is from RNAcentral.
GACGAACGCUGGCGGCGCGCCUAACACAUGCAAGUCGAACGAGCGAGAGAGAGCUUGCUUUCUCAAGCGAGUGGCGAACGGGUGAGUAACGCGUGAGGAACCUGCCUCAAAGAGGGGGACAACAGUUGGAAACGACUGCUAAUACCGCAUAAGCCCACAGGUCGACAUCGACCAGAGGGAAAAGGAGCAAUCCGCUUUGAGAUGGCCUCGCGUCCGAUUAGCUAGUUGGUGAGGUAACGGCCCACCAAGGCAACGAUCGGUAGCCGGACUGAGAGGUUGAACGGCCACAUUGGGACUGAGACACGGCCCAGACUCCUACGGGAGGCAGCAGUGGGGAAUAUUGCACAAUGGGGGAAACCCUGAUGCAGCGACGCCGCGUGGAGGAAGAAGGUCUUCGGAUUGUAAACUCCUGUUGUUGAGGAAGAUAAUGACGGUACUCAACAAGGAAGUGACGGCUAACUACGUG